UACGAAGGGUGCAAGCGUUAAUCGGAAUUACUGGGCGUAAAGCGUACGUAGGCGGCUUUGUAAGUUAGAGGUGAAAGCCCGGGGCUCAACUCCGGAAUUGCCUUUAAGACUGCAUCGCUUGAAUCAUGGAGAGGUGAGUGGAAUUCCGAGUGUAGAGGUGAAAUUCGUAGAUAUUCGGAAGAACACCAGUGGCGAAGGCGACUCACUGGACAUGUAUUGACGCUGAGGUACGAAAGCGUGGGGAGCAAACAGG
This 253-nucleotide ribosomal RNA is filed under the name uncultured bacterium. Its description in RNAcentral is "partial 16S ribosomal RNA". It matches the Rfam family "Bacterial small subunit ribosomal RNA", at positions 524 to 776 of the family's 1533-position model. The record is from RNAcentral.